AGGUGUGAACUCGAGGUUGGACAUUUGAAGUUGCACGAAGAAUGCCACACAGGGGCUUCCAGAUCCUGUCCUGCAAAGAUGUCUCAACUGCAGGUACAAACUGAGUGUUUGCUGGUCCUGCGACAUCGUCCACUCUGCAGCUGAGGCACAUUACUGGGCUCCUGUUAUGUCCACCUCCUGUGUGUGAGAAAGGGCCAAAAAGAUGUCUACAACAAGACCCGUAAAGUCGAGGAAAUCAAAACCCCUGGAGGAGGAUCCCAUAAAGCCAGUGAAUUCACAGCUGUGAUCUGAAUGCCCUGUGACCCCCCCCCCCCUUUCAGAGGCAAGGUGGGACACCCCUCCUCCCAGGUGACAGAUUAAUGAGGCCGCACCCCGGGAUAUAAACUGUAUUGCUGACAUCAGAUAUUAACCUCUAUCAUGUCAUGAGCUUGAGCGGUCCUAGUAUUCCUGAGGGCA
Molecule: long non-coding RNA, 456 nt
Organism: Scatophagus argus
Lineage: Eukaryota; Metazoa; Chordata; Actinopteri; Scatophagidae
Exons: 4
Source: RefSeq, a predicted model, not a curated record